Molecule: long non-coding RNA, 1308 nt
Filed under: Homo sapiens (human)
Lineage: Eukaryota; Metazoa; Chordata; Mammalia; Primates; Hominidae
Description: non-protein coding SNHG1:47
Rfam family: Small nucleolar RNA SNORD26 (bases 108-182)
Source: RNAcentral
UCUGCAGGAUUUACGCGCACGUUGGAACCGAAGAGAGCUCUGUUGUUGCAGUAAGUUCUUACGGCCAUUUCUUAAUCUCUGCUCUUUCGUUGAGUGUGUGGAAGUUGCUACGGGGAUGAUUUUACGAACUGAACUCUCUCUUUCUGAUGGAUUAGUGGAGAAAACAGAAAAUUCUGAGUAGCACUGUACUGUACGCAACAAAUGUCAGGGCCCUAUUGAUUUGUCUGAGGUGUUAGUGAAGGGUGUUAUUUUUUCAGAUGUUCAGCCCACAAGAGCUUACUGGUGAAGGAAUGGGACAAGACCCAUCUUUAUGCAAAGCCAGCGUUACAGUAAUGUUCCAGCAUCUCAUAAUCUAUCCUGGGGAAUUCAGCUGCCUCCCAGGGUGAAUACAGGUAUUCCUGAUGACAGUCUGCCUCUAUCUUACAGAGCAGCUUGUUGCUAUAUACCAUUGAAAAGCCUUCAGAGCUGAGAGGUACUACUAACCAAUAACCUGCUUGGCUCAAAGGGCCAGCACCUUCUCUCUAAAGCCCAAGAGGAGUUUGAGGAAAACUAGGUGUCUGUGUUCACUCCAGGCUGAAGUUACAGGUCUGAGCAAAUAAGGUGUAUAAAAAAUGGAAUCUGUCUUGGAGGACAUCAGAAGGUGAAUUUUCCAAGUUCUUGGACAACCUAGCUGUUGAAAAGCUUUCUGGGUUUGGGGGGUAUUUCAGAUGUACCUUAAAGUGUUAGCAGACACAGAUUAAGACACUGGGAGCCAAUGAAACAGCAGUUGAGGGUUUGCUGUGUAUCACAUUUCUGUAUUUUAUCACCCCCUUCCUGCAACAUUAUUUAUCUGGAAUCUACCUGCCCUUUUGUUUUUUAGAUACAAGGGCUUGGUUUUGUUACCCAGGCUGGUUUCAAGGCCAUAGCUUUAAGAGAUCCUCUCACCACAGAUUUCCAAAGUGCUGGGAUUGCAGGUGUGAUUCAUGGCACCCAGACUUUGCUGCCUUUCUUACAUGAUCCAGGCCCAGAACCCAAACUCAGGCACUGUAUAGAUGACCACUUUCGUAAACUACUGACCUAGCUUGUUGCCAAUUGUUGAUUGAACUUCCCAUAACUCCACUUCGUGUCUGUUCCUCUGUAUACAGCCACCUUCUGUUCCCGUCAUGAGCCUUUAGGUCUCCAUUUGCAUAUUGCAAAUACUAUGUUCCAUGUAGGUAGCUCAUUCAGGGCCUUGCUCUUCACUUCAAAAAAGGUUCCCUUGAGGACUGGCUGUCAAUUUGUGUUGCUGUGUUGGUUGUUGAUGAAAAUAAUAAAAUGAUUGAUUACAUA